This 253-nucleotide ribosomal RNA is filed under the name uncultured bacterium. RNAcentral describes it as "partial 16S ribosomal RNA". It matches the Rfam family "Bacterial small subunit ribosomal RNA", at positions 524 to 776 of the family's 1533-position model. The record is from RNAcentral.
UACGUAGGGUGCAAGCGUUAUCCGGAAUUAUUGGGCGUAAAGGGCUCGUAGGCGGCCAACUAAGUCAUACGUGAAAUCCCUCAGCUUAACUGGGGAACUGCGUGUGAUACUGGAUGGCUUGGAUUUGGGAGAGGGAUGCGGAAUUCCAGGUGUAGCGGUGAAAUGCGUAGAUAUCUGGAGGAACACCGGUGGCGAAGGCGGCAUCCUGGACCAAUAUUGACGCUGAGGAGCGAAAGCCAGGGGAGCAAACGGG